Molecule: ribosomal RNA, 1213 nt
Filed under: Enterococcus faecium
Lineage: Bacteria; Bacillati; Bacillota; Bacilli; Lactobacillales; Enterococcaceae
Description: bacterial SSU rRNA
Rfam family: Bacterial small subunit ribosomal RNA
Source: RNAcentral
UUGGGAGGUAACGGUUCACCAAGGCCACGAUGCAUAGCGACCUGAGAGGUGAUCGCCCCAUUGGGACUGAGACACGGCCCAAACUCCUACGGGAGGCAGCAGUAGGAAUCUUCGGCAAUGGACGAAAGUCUGACCGAGCAACGCCGCGUGAGUGAAGAAGGUUUUCGGAUCGUAAAACUCUGUUGUUAGAGAAGAACAAGGAUGAGAGUAACUGUUCAUCCCUUGACGGUAUCUAACCAGAAAGCCACGGCUAACUACGUGCCAGCAGCCGCGGUAAUACGUAGGUGGCAAGCGUUGUCCGGAUUUAUUGGGCGUAAAGCGAGCGCAGGCGGUUUCUUAAGUCUGAUGUGAAAGCCCCCGGCUCAACCGGGGAGGGUCAUUGGAAACUGGGAGACUUGAGUGCAGAAGAGGAGAGUGGAAUUCCAUGUGUAGCGGUGAAAUGCGUAGAUAUAUGGAGGAACACCAGUGGCGAAGGCGGCUCUCUGGUCUGUAACUGACGCUGAGGCUCGAAAGCGUGGGGAGCAAACAGGAUUAGAUACCCUGGUAGUCCACGCCGUAAACGAUGAGUGCUAAGUGUUGGAGGGUUUCCGCCCUUCAGUGCUGCAGCUAACGCAUUAAGCACUCCGCCUGGGGAGUACGACCGCAAGGUUGAAACUCAAAGGAAUUGACGGGGGCCCGCACAAGCGGUGGAGCAUGUGGUUUAAUUCGAAGCAACGCGAAGAACCUUACCAGGUCUUGACAUCCUUUGACCACUCUAGAGAUAGAGCUUCCCCUUCGGGGGCAAAGUGACAGGUGGUGCAUGGUUGUCGUCAGCUCGUGUCGUGAGAUGUUGGGUUAAGUCCCGCAACGAGCGCAACCCUUAUUGUUAGUUGCCAUCAUUCAGUUGGGCACUCUAGCAAGACUGCCGGUGACAAACCGGAGGAAGGUGGGGAUGACGUCAAAUCAUCAUGCCCCUUAUGACCUGGGCUACACACGUGCUACAAUGGGAAGUACAACGAGUUGCGAAGUCGCGAGGCUAAGCUAAUCUCUUAAAGCUUCUCUCAGUUCGGAUUGCAGGCUGCAACUCGCCUGCAUGAAGCCGGAAUCGCUAGUAAUCGCGGAUCAGCACGCCGCGGUGAAUACGUUCCCGGGCCUUGUACACACCGCCCGUCACACCACGAGAGUUUGUAACACCCGAAGUCGGUGAGGUAACCUUUUGGAGCCAGCCGCCUAA